AAUCAUCUGAUGAGAAAAAAACUGCAACAAUAUGAUGGAAAUAUUCCGUGAUUCGCUGUAUUUAAGUCUCUGAUGAUU
Ziziphus jujuba (common jujube) is the source of this 78-nucleotide small nucleolar RNA. RefSeq annotates it as small nucleolar RNA Z199. The record is from RefSeq and is a predicted model, not a curated record. NCBI's taxonomy places the organism in Eukaryota, Viridiplantae, Streptophyta, Magnoliopsida, Rosales, Rhamnaceae. The transcript has a single exon.